Molecule: ribosomal RNA, 550 nt
Filed under: uncultured bacterium
Lineage: Bacteria
Description: bacterial SSU rRNA
Rfam family: Bacterial small subunit ribosomal RNA
Source: RNAcentral
GAUGCAACGCGAAAAACCUUACCCACCUUUGACAUGUACGGAAGUUACCAGAGAUGGUUUCGUGCUCGAAAGAGAACCGUAACACAGGUGCUGCAUGGCUGUCGUCAGCUCGUGUCGUGAGAUGUUGGGUUAAGUCCCGCAACGAGCGCAACCCUUGUCAUUAGUUGCUACGAAAGGGCACUCUAAUGAGACUGCCGGUGACAAACCGGAGGAAGGUGGGGAUGACGUCAAGUCCUCAUGGCCCUUAUAGAUGGGGCUACACACGUCAUACAAUGGCUGGUACAGAGGGUUGCCAACCCGCGAGGGGGAGCUAAUCCCAUAAAACCAGUCGUAGUCCGGAUCNCAGUNUGCAACUCGACUGCGUGAAGUCGGAAUCGCUAGUAAUCGCGGAUCAGAAUGUCGCGGUGAAUACGUUCCCGGGUCUUGUACACACCGCCCGUCACACCUUGGGAGCGGGUUCUGCCAGAAGUAGUUAGCCUAACCGCAAGGAGGGCGAUUACCACGGCAGGGUUCGUGACUGGGGUGAAGUCGUAAACAAGGUAGCCGUAAA